RNA transcript from Mus musculus (house mouse), 9053 nucleotides. It is a transcript of the gene named cytokine receptor-like factor 3, with no coding region annotated. The record is from RefSeq and is marked reviewed. Lineage: Eukaryota; Metazoa; Chordata; Mammalia; Rodentia; Muridae. The transcript has 8 exons.
AGAGGCCGGAGGAGGAGCUGAGCAGACGGCGCAGCAGGUUUCACUCACUCAGACCAAGGCGCCAUUAGUGCCUGUGUCCCCCCCACCCCCACCCCCCGGCGUCUGUCAAUCAAGCGGCAGCGGGGGCGGGGCGUGAAGGACAGGGCAGGGCGGGGCGGCGCUUCCGCUGCGCGAGGCCGCUCGGGGUCGCUCGCGGGAGCUAGGCGCAGUCGGGAAUCCGGCGGGCCGCGCGACCAGAUGAAGGGCGCGAUGGAGCCGGAGCCCGAGGUGCUGCUUCAGGAAGCCCGCGAGAACGUGGAGGCGGCGCAGAGCUACCGGCGGGAGCUGGGCCAGCGGCUGCAGGGGCUGCGGGAGGCGCAGAGGCAGAUAAAGGAGAGUGCUUCACAGACAAGAGAUGUCCUCAAACAGCAUUUUAGUGAUUUAAAAGGAACCCUUGGGAAGCUAUUGGAUGAGCGAUUGGUGACCCUUUUGCAAGAGGUGGACACCAUUGAACAGGAGACCAUCAAACCACUAGAUGACUGCCAGAAACUCAUAGAGCAUGGGGUCAACACUGCAGAUGACCUGGUCCGAGAAGGUGAGAUUGCCAUUCUUGGUGGUAUCGAAGAAGAGAGUGAUAAACUGUGGAACUUUACCAAAAAGGCCUCACACAUUCAGCUGGACAGCUUACCAGAAGUGCCCUUGCUAGUUGAUGUACCCUGUUUGUCGGCUCAGUUGGACGAUUCCAUUCUUAACAUAGUGAAAGACCACAUUUUUAAGCAUGGAACAGUAGCUUCCCGCCCACCAGUACAGAUUGAAGAAUUAAUAGAGAAACCUGGAGGCAUCAUAGUGCGAUGGUGUAAGGUGGAUGAUGACUUCACAGCCCAAGAUUACAGGCUUCAGUUCCGCAAAUGUACUGCAAAUCAUUUUGAAGACGUGUAUGUAGGUUCUGAAACGGAGUUCAUAGUGUUGCACAUAGACCCCAAUGUAGAUUAUCAAUUCAGAGUCUGCGCCCGAGGAGACGGCAGGCAGGAAUGGAGUCCUUGGAGUGUUCCCCAGACAGGCCACUCCACACUGGUGCCUCAUGAGUGGACAACUGGCUUUGAGGGAUACAGUCUGAGCAGUCGAAGAAAUAUAGCCCUCCGGAAUGAUGCCGAGUCCUCGGGUGUUCUCUACUCCAGCGCUCCAACCUACUUCUGUGGGCAGACGCUGACAUUCAGGUUCUAGAUUUCCAAUCCCAUUCUGGGCUGUGACCAGUGUCUUUAUUAGAACCCUGAGCAUCUUACCAACCUCAUAUGGUAGGGAUUUUUGUCUGUUCUGUUUUCUUGUGUGAGGCGUGGGAGAACAUCUGGAAGUUUUGUCUGAGCUAGUGUUGCUGUGUUCCCCUUCAGCCACAUCAUUUGAACUGACCCCACUGUCAGGAUGGUUAAUGCUUUGUCUUUCUUUUGACACCUCCUCUUACCCACUAAGUCGUAAAGAAAGAAUGAAUCACCAGAAGAAUGCCAAGAGAGGAGAAAAAUGAGUCUGUUAGCUUUCCACUUCUACAAAUAAGCACUUGAGAUAAUGGGCUCACAGAGAAGAGGGCCGUCCCUGCUCACCUCCAGUACUGUAGCCUGUGACAAGUCGGCUCCAUUUCUGUGGGCUCGUGUCAGCUGUUAGGUGGCAGGAUUUUCUCCCUAACAGGGCCUGCUGAGGACCAAACCAUUGAUACUUGUGCCUCUCAGGAGCAUGGAAAUAAUUCUAUAUCUAAUUAUGGCAGAACCUGAAACCCAAAACCUGCUUAUGCCCCACGUAGUGACUUUUCUUUGUAGAGAAAUACCUUCAUUAGUGAAAUUCCUGAAACCCAGGUACUUCUGCACAGCAGCAGACCUCCUACAACCUGUAGAUAGAGGCUGGCUAGAGUGCCAAUGAGAAUGACGAUAAAUAAAUUAUUGCAGUUGCUAUCUAAAUCUGGGCCAAGGGCUAGUGCGUGUGGUUUCAUGUACCCAGGCUGAGUAGCUGGGGAAAGCCUUGGACUUCCACUUCCCAAGAGCAGAUAUAAGAGCUGUGCACUACUCCACUGGCUUAUUGGUGCUGAGGACUGAACCCAGGGCUUGGUAAAUGCAAGGCAAGCACUCUGCUGCCUGAGCUGCGAAGCAAACUUCAUUGUUGUCUUACAGUAACCAAUUUGAUGAGUGUAGUUGACCAUUUUAGGAGGGAGAAAAUUGAGGCACAAAGAAGUUUAUUAUUCAGUGUCUCACAGCUAGUAAGUACCAAAGCUGAGACUGAAGUCCGGGAGCUGUCUCCAGAAUCCAGUGGUUAUGCCUGCCUCGGCCUGCUGAGUGGGAGAGCUGUGCACUAACGACCACACCCAGGGCCGUCUUAGCCACUGGCCAUUUCGUCUGUCUCUGCUGUCUUCUGUGAGGAAGGAAGUGUGAAGGCUGCAGUGCCGCUGGUGUUGGUGUUGGUGUUGGUGCUGUAGCUGCACGUCAGGCCUGGGGCAUGUAAAGCAUUUGUUCUUCCACGGGGCUGCCCCCUUCCCUUUCCGAUUUUAGUAUCUUUUCCUCUCUGUAUUUCUUGAUCCUAAUGCUGUCUUAUGGUUUCGAUUCCCUCUGUGGAUACAAAGGAAUAUUUGAUUGAUGGCUUCCAUACUUGUCAGCGAUAUAGACUGAUAGGACCUCACGGCCUACUAUCUGCUGACGGGUCUGACAGCAGGCUUAAUCAAACUCUCUCUGUCUUCGCCCAGAGAAGUCUCACUUGGGCCUCUCUGGGCAGGGUGAUUAACUAAGACUCCAUUCUGCUCAGUCUCAGGCAGACUUUGCAUGGUUGUCAUUGAAUGUGAACUAAGAGUCUCCUACCCGUGUUCAAAGGGUAAACCUGGAGGUAAGUGGGGGUCGGGGCAGCUGAGUGUGGCUGAACGAGGGGCUUCUGAAGGACCUGCUCUUUAGGAGGGCGCUGUACACUCCCAGGCACUCCUCUUGUUUAGCCAGCUUGUCUUUGCUGUGGCUUCUGGAUGGCUUGCAGGUAUGGGAACCUUUUGGCACUGUGACUUGGUGUUGUCAUCUAGAAAAUGUGCACUUAAGGACUGAACAGUGCCAUUAUAGGAGGGUGGGGAGUACCAGGUUUUUUUUUUUAAGUCUAAAUAUUUUAAAUAAGUAUGCAAUUCUGUGUUGGGAUAAAUUCAUAAUUACCCUUGGCUGCGUGACUGUGGGCACGGCUUGGACAUGCUUGGUAGAACCUCUGAAGCAAUGAGGCCUUGUUUCUGGCUGAAUGCUUAGCCUCUCUGCCAUGGUGCCUGAGUCUGCUGACGGCCCUUCUCCGGACCUCUCCCAUCUCCUGGCUGAACAUUCCUGUUUUCUUUGCCUGCUUUUAACUUUUCCUGGCAUCAUCAAUUUACUUUUUAGUUAUGUGUGUCUGUGUGCAUCUGCCAUGUGAGUGCAGGUGCCCUCAGAGGCCAGUUGAUCCCCAGGGGCUGCAGUUACAGGCAACAACAGUACAUGUUCUUACCCCUGAGCCAUCUCUCCAGCCCCUUAUUAAUUUUUAAACUGUAUGGUAACCUCUUUUCUGUCAUCUGUUUCUUAGUUUGUUUUGAGAUGGGGUCUAGUGUAUCCCAGGCUGGCCUCAAACUCACUAUAAAGCCGAGAAUGACCUUAAACUGCUGAUCUCCUUGCGUCCACCUCCCUACUGCAGAGCCUGUGGGCAUGCGCACUCUCCUUUUAUGCUGAGCUACCAAACCGAGCCCCACCACCUGUUUUUUUAAAGCAGCUUCCUUUUUUAAGUUAAGAAACAAAAGCACACGGGGAUCGUAUGUCAGGCUUCAAAUCUUAGAAGUGUAGAGUUACCCCAGGUUGUGUGCUCAGUGCUGUCUACUCAUCCUGCUGUCACAGUUUGCCUUCUGUUGCUGGGAUAAAACACUGACUAAAAGCAACCUGGGAAGAAGGAUUUAUUGCAUCUUACAGGUCACAGUCCCUCACCGAGGGAAGCCAGGGCAGGAGGUGAGAGGAACCCUGGAAUCGGGAACUGAAGCAGAAGAGAUAGAGGAAGGCUACUCACUGUCUUCCUCUGGCCUGCUUAGCUACCCGUCUUGUAUACCCCGCACCCACCUGCUAAGGAGUGGUAUAGCUCACAGUGGGCUGGGCACUUCACCAGUCGCAACUUAAACAAACAGGCAGCCGUUCACUUGUGUUUUGAAACAGGUUCUCACUGUGGUAUUCUGGUUGGCUAAGAAUUUAAUAUGUGGGCUGGAGAGAUGGCUCAGUGGCUAAGAGCACUGACUGCUCUUCCGAAGGUCCCAAGUUCAAAUCCCAGCAACCACAUGGUGGCUUACAACCACCUGUAAUGGGAUCUGAUUACCUCUUCUGAUGUGUCUGAAGUCAGCUACAGUGUACUUACAUAUAAUAAAUAAAUAAACAAACAAACAAACAAACAAACAAACAAACAAAUAAGAAUUUAAUAUGUGCCCAUUCCGGUCUGGGACUUGCAGCAACCCUCUUUUCCCUGUGCCUGGGUGCUAGUAUCAUGGCAGUACUCCCACCCCCAGAGGUUAAUAGCUGUGAGCUAUGUGAAUUUGCUUCAGUGCUUGCUUUGGUGCCUCCUCCAUUCCCCACCCCCAGCAUCCCACAAUAAGGGUCUUAGUUUAUAGCCUAGGCUAGUCUGGGUGGAAUUCACUGUGUAUCCCAGGCUGGCUUUAGAUUUUCAGCAAUCCUAUUUUUGCCUUCUUGGUGCCAAGAUUACAUGUGUCACCAUACCUGGCUUGCUUUAUUUAUUAUUAUUAUUGCUUAUGUGUGUAUACACAUAUGCAUAUUUUGAUUUGUAUGUGUGCCUUAUCAUGAGUGUAGGUGCACUCAUCGUAGCAUGCGUGGGAAGGUCGGAUGACUUUCAGGAGUGUGUUCUCAGCUUCCACAGGUGAGUUCUGUGGACCAAGCUCAGGUUGUCAGAGUUGUAACAAGCUUUUUACCCACUGAGCCUUCUCUCAGUUCCUUGGCUUUUUUUGGGUUUUUGUUUUGCUUUUUUGUUUGUUUGUUUGUUUGUUUGUUUCUGAGACAACCUUGUUAUGUAGCCCAGGAUGACCUUGGACUCUUAACUGCUAGGAUUACAAGUAUUCACCAAAUGAGCUGGGCAGUGAUGGUGCACACCUUUAAUCCUAGCACUCCAGAGGCAAAGGUGGGUUGACCUCUGAGUGUGAGGACAGCCUGCUCUACAGGGCAAGCAGCCAGGGCUACACAGAGAAACCCUCUGUCUUGGGGAAGGAAACAAAAGAAAAUGUGCACCAACCAUGCCUGGCUUUUUCUUCUGUCUACUAAGGACCGAACCUGGGCCUUUCAUACGCAGGCAAGGCCUUUGCCACUGAGCUACACCCUUACUGUGUUUCCUUUCUACUAAGUAUUAACAUUUUUAUCAUUUCUGAAUGAAUUUAAGCUCAAAGAGAUCCUUAUUUCCUGUACAGAGUUCAUUUCUGCCAUUACCAGGUAUAUCUUGUUAGUUUCUUAUAUUCAAAAAGUAGUCUAGGCUGGGGUACACUCAGUGGCACUGUGUGCAGUUAGCAUACAGAAAGCUAAGUUCAGUCCCUGGCACCAAACAAAAUACACAAAACCGACAGCACAAUUAAAUCUUUCCUAGAAAAGCCCUGUGGAGAAGCUGCUACGGGAGGUGUUUUUAUAUAGGGGUAGGAUGUGUCCCUUGGUAGGCUGCCCUUGCUCCACUUGAUGGCCCCACACCAGGGCAGCAUUAAUUGGAUUCUGGGCUAUAAGAGAAAAGGCAUGAGAGGGGCGUAUUGGAGGGUAGGAUUGGGAGGAGCUGGAGGCAUGAGGGAAGAUGGGUAUUAGUAAAACAUGUUUUAGUCCUGUAUGAAACUUUCAAAGAUACAUAAAAACACUAUUUUUUAAAGCCUGGUGUUUGAGUCAGGCACAGCAUGGAUGAUUAUCCCUCUGAGCACCAGAGAGGCUGGGCCAGGAGCUUCAUGGGUUCAAGGGCAUGUCAGGCUCCAUAAGUGAGACUGUCUCAACAGGGAACAGAAAUGAAGUUAAUUUGUUUUUAACUAGGAUCUUUGAACCUUGUAUGCUCCUCCAUAUGCUGUGUGGAGAGACUGCAUAGUCCCAGGGAGAGUGCAGCUGGGCUAGGGCUCUGUGGUUUUGCUACCAGGGAACCCCUAGAGGUGCAGCAGCCCUGUGAAACAGGCUCAUAUUACAGAUAUGGGUAAUGUCACCCAGAGGAAUUCUCUCCGACACACUCUUAUUAUAGUGUGGGGGAGAUAAGCUGAGAACUUGCCAGGAGUCGCUCCCUGGCUUUUAAUUUGUUUGCAUGGGUAGGAUUACAUGAAGUCACUGGGCAUUCCUGCCUUGGGUAUUCAUGCACAGUCCUGGUUAUGACAGAAUUAAUAGGCCUUUUUCUCUGUGUUUUUCUUUAAAAAAAAAAAAAAGAUUUAUUUAUUUUAUUUAUAUGAGUACACUGUUGCUGUCUUCAGACACACCAGAAGAGGGCAUUGGAUCCCAUUACAGAUGAUUGUGAGCUACUAUGUGGUUGCUGGGAAUUGAACUCAGGACUUCUGGAAGAGCAGUCAGUGCUCUCAACCACUGAGCCAUCUCUGCAGCCCCUUCUCUGUGUUUCUUAAUAUCACUUUUCUAAAAUGGAAAGUCAGUUCUCUUGAUUGACUGCAGUAGUUGUUUGUUUCUGUGUAAACUACAUCAGGCAUUGGUCUCUUCUCCCACUGUGGGCAUACAGCAUUGGGUAUCAUAGGGAAUCUGGGUUUAAGAAAAAGAAGAAAUGCCAGGCGUGGCACCUUAUAGCUAGUACUUGGGAGGGUGAUGCAGGAAGACACCAAAAAUUCAAAGCCAGGGAGGCUACAUAGUAAGUUUCAAGUCAUCUUGGGCUACACUGUGAGACCUUAUCUUUAUAAAGAACUAUGAGAUGCCCAGUGGUGGUGGCACACGCCUUUAAUCCCAGCACUCGGAAGGCAGAAGCAGGUGGAUUUCUGAGUUUGAGGCCAGCCUGGUCUACAAAGUGAGUUCCAGGACAGCCAGGACUAUACAGAGAAACCCUGUCUCAAAACCACCCCCCCCCCAAAAAAAAAAGCCUCAGUUUGAAUGCCCAGGAUACACAUGAGAACCAGACAUGCCGUGUGAAUCUCUGUGAUCCCAGUGUCUUAGUUAGAGUGACUGUGCUGUGAUGACUAAAAGCAACUUGGGGAGGAGCGGGUUUAUUUCACUCACAGUUCCUUGUAGCCGUUCACCAUCAAAAGCAGUGAGGGCAGGAGCUCAAACAGGGCAGGAACCUGGGGGCAGAAGCCGUGGCCGGGGCUGCUUUACUCACUUGCUAAGCCUGUUUCUUACAGAAGUGAAGCUGAGUAUGGCAUCACCCGCUAAUUAAAGAAAUGCCCUGCAGGCAGAUCUUAUGGAGGCAUUUUCUCAAAUUGAGGUUCCCUCCUUUUAGGUAACUCUAGCUCAUAUCAAGUUGACAUAAAAGUAGCCGACAUGCCCAGUGUCCCUAUGAGGAGAUGGGAGGGGGAGACAGUAGAAGCCCUGGAAGCUUUCAGGUCAGAUAGUCUCCUACACACACACACACCACACAGAGGGGAGUGGUGCAGGAGGGACAGGUAAGGGAUGGGGGGAAAAAAAACAACCACAAAGUAGCAAAGACUGUGUCCUGAAAUACCAGCAUGUACUCCUAACCACGGAACCAUCUUGCCCAUCCCAUGUUACAUUUAAAAAGAGGAAAACAGUGAGAUGACCUUUUUACUUCAAUGACAGAGUUGAAACUGUGGGACAGCCAGACCGAAGAGACAGUAUAGGAGUAUGUGCAGAAAGGCAGAAUGGCUACGAAUCUCUGCAGCGGGACCAAGCCGUGUGCAUCAGCACGAAUGGUGCAGUCUUUGUCAAUGGAAAAGAAAUGACCAAUCAGUUGCCUGCAGUUACCUCUGGCUCCACUGUCACAUUUGAUAUCGAAGCUGUGACUCUAGGAACUUCUAACAGCCAUGAAGGUGGGAACGCCAAGCUCCGAGUGACCAUCAGCUCCAAUAACCGGGAGGUGGUGUUUGACUGGCUGCUCGAGCAGGCCUGUGGCCCUCUUUACUUCGGAUGCUCGUUUUUCUACCCUGGAUGGAAAGUGCUGGUAUUUUAGCAUUUGAAGGGCUUGGCUUUGAUGUGAGGGUUUGCUGUUUCUGUCCUCAGUUUAGUUGUCUCUGACUUUGAAAAGGUGAGCUUACCUCUCUGUCCACCGGAAAUUAAAAAUGUUUCUGGGUUCACCUUGUAAGGUUUCAGUAAGAAGUGAGCUGAGUGAUGUGGACAAAACCAUAGCUCAGUUUUGUUUUGAAGUACAAAUAUCAAACUAGCUUUAAAAGUCUGCAUACUUUUUCCACUGUUCUUCCUGAAGUUGGUUGUUAGAACAGAAAAUGUCACAUUAGUAAGUCUUCAUCAAGAUUGAAGGCCAGAAGUAAACACAGAAGACAGCGAGAGGCCAGGCUCCUCGGUGCUUGUCCAGUCCUGAGUGUUCACCCUCUCCACGUCCCCCUCCGGGAGUGUCUGGGUCUGAGCCAGCAUCUGUGACAGCCAGUGUUAGCAUCUUUUUACUGGAGUGUGACACAGAGAGGGCAGAGGUCUGCAUUCCUCAAGGUGAAGCUACUUUUGGAAGAACACAGCAGUGUUAGCAGGUCACGUGUGCACAGCAGGCCCCAUGCAUCUUUCCUCAGCCGUGCACACGGGCUGUGUGCAGUGUUAUAGUCAGUGUGAUGUCAGGUUGAGAACUGGUCUUUUAGUGGACCAAGGAAAUAAAGGAUAAAUACUUGACCUAUUUUUUUUAAACUUAAAUUUCUGUAAAAUAUUUAUUUGACUUACUUAAUAUGUAAAAAAAUCGUGGUCUUGUUAUACCAGCAUACAUAUAAUUUUUAAUGUGAAUUUUUGUUUGUUUUUUAUCAAUAGUAAAAAAAAAAAGUGGAAAAGCAAGUGUGGUAUUUUUGUAAGAUAAUUUAUUUGGGGAUUCAUGUUCCCUUUCGACAAUCAUGACUUUUCCUCCCGUUUUAUGUAUAAGUAAGUGCCCUUCUCAUGUUAGAGGUUCUAGAGUGCCGUAUCCAGCCUUAUGAAACAAAAUAAAAAAUGAAAAAUUAA